Molecule: ribosomal RNA, 468 nt
Filed under: uncultured bacterium
Lineage: Bacteria
Description: partial 16S ribosomal RNA
Rfam family: Bacterial small subunit ribosomal RNA
Source: RNAcentral
GACGAACGCUGGCGGCGUGCUUAACACAUGCAAGUCGAACGGAAAGGCCCUGCUUUUGUGGGGUGCUCGAGUGGCGAACGGGUGAGUAACACGUGAGUAACCUGCCCUUGACUUUGGGAUAACUUCAGGAAACUGGGGCUAAUACCGGAUAGGAGCUCCUGCUGCAUGGUGGGGGUUGGAAAGUUUCGGCUGUUGGGGAUGGACUCGCGGCUUAUCAGCUUGAUGGUGGGGUAGUGGCUUACCAAGGCUUUGACGGGUAGCCGGCCUGAGAGGGUGACCGGCCACAUUGGGACUGAGGUACGGCCCAGACUCCUACGGGAGGCAGCAGUGGGGAAUAUUGCACAAUGGGCGGAAGCCUGAUGCAGCAACGCCGCGUGCGGGAUGACGGCCUUCGGGUUGUAAACCGCUUUCGCCUGUGACGAAGCGUGAGUGACGGUAAUGGGUAAAGAAGCACCGGCUAACUACGUG